This 200-nucleotide unclassified non-coding RNA is filed under the name Chrysosporium sp. RNAcentral's name for it is "partial internal transcribed spacer 2". Lineage: Eukaryota; Fungi; Ascomycota; Eurotiomycetes; Onygenales; Onygenaceae. The record is from RNAcentral.
UUAAGUUCAGCGGGUAUCCCUACCUGAUCCGAGGUCAACCUGAUAAAAUUGGGGGGUUGCUGGCAGGCACAUGCCCAGACCUCCAGAGCGAGAAGAUUUACUACGCUCGGAGCUGGACAGCACCGCCACUGACUUUAGGGCCCGCCAGGCGGCGGAGCCCAACACCAAGCUAGGCUUGAGGGUUGUAAUGACGCUCGGAC